UAGCCAUGAUGUGGGAAGGUAAGCAAAAUCUUCUUGAAUCUCUCCCAACACUGAAAAAAUGUUUCAUCCUAUUUUUGAAAGAAGUUCAUGAUAUUUCACCUCAGAGUGU
This is a small nucleolar RNA of Magnolia sinica, 109 nucleotides long. Lineage: Eukaryota; Viridiplantae; Streptophyta; Magnoliopsida; Magnoliales; Magnoliaceae. The record is from RefSeq and is a predicted model, not a curated record.